Eptesicus fuscus (big brown bat) is the source of this 330-nucleotide long non-coding RNA. RefSeq lists it as uncharacterized. The transcript has 3 exons. NCBI's taxonomy places the organism in Eukaryota, Metazoa, Chordata, Mammalia, Chiroptera, Vespertilionidae. The record is from RefSeq and is a predicted model, not a curated record.
CCUGAGGCCUGAACUAUAAGCUCCUUCUAGGCAUUUUUUUUUUUUUAAAUCAUGGGAAACCAUUUUUUUCCUUUAAGCCAUUAUUAAUAAGGUUUUCUGUUACUUCCAGCGAAACAAAUCCUAAUGGAUACAUGUUUUCUUCAUUAUGCAUUCUUGCAGUUUCUGCCUGAAGAAGCCACCCACCGUACUGAUUUCACUCCUGAGAGCCAUACAUUACAAGUCCAAUUCCUCUUUGACGGGCUUCCUGUCCUGUACAAAUUUGAUAAGCAUGCCUCCUGUGUCUUCAUUUCAACUCACUGAUAGCAAGUGUAACCCAGAUAAUCACUCUUU